CUCGAGACGGACCUCCAGGGCAGAAGCCCUGGCAGGAGAACUCCUCGAAAGAGCUCGGGGGGCUGAAGGCUCGACGUCGUAAGGGACGUCGACGGCGAGGGCCACCCGGGCAACUUCUACGUCCGUGCCUGUAACAAGAGAAAAGAAAGAAGGAAAUCCUGAAAAAUCGAGAAAGAUUGUGAAUAAACUCUCGAAAGGUAAACAAACAAGGC
This 212-nucleotide long non-coding RNA is filed under the name Elaeis guineensis (African oil palm). Its description in RNAcentral is "long non-coding RNA (EGUI_LNC069247)". Lineage: Eukaryota; Viridiplantae; Streptophyta; Magnoliopsida; Arecales; Arecaceae. The record is from RNAcentral.